RNAcentral lists this ribosomal RNA (521 nucleotides) under Spinotectarchus acornutus. Its description in RNAcentral is "eukaryotic LSU rRNA". Lineage: Eukaryota; Metazoa; Arthropoda; Insecta; Phasmatodea; Diapheromeridae. The record is from RNAcentral.
GUACGUGAAACCGUUCAGGGGUAAACGGGAGAAAUCCUGAAUUCGAAGGGGAUGGAUUCAAUUACGUCUGGUUUCGGGCCGCCUGGCCCCGCCAGAUGUCGUCGGUCGCCUGCGGCGAUUCAUUUCGCUUGCGGUGUCGUAACCGGCGGUCACUCGGCGGGGUGGUGUCGCUCCGGCUCCGGCGUAGUGCACUUCCUCCCUUGUAGAAACGUCGCGACCCGUUGGGUGCCGGUCCAAGGCCCUGGGAUGGCAGACCGCGAGUCCUGCGCGGUCACGCGCAGGCGCGCGGACUCCCGGUGACCCGGCCGGCUGCUCGACGGUAUGACCAGAGGAGUCGAUCCGCUGAAUGGGAAACACUAUGGUUGUGUAGCGUCCGGCCCGGCGCCGACACGUGCGGGGAAUGUGGUGUAAACCGGGGGUGUCCGUGCGGAUGCACGGCCCCGGCCCCGCUGCGUCGUCGGAUCCGUCGGUGUCCUCGGACCGGAUCUGUACUCCCGUCGGCGACGCCCACCUUCGGAUGG